Molecule: long non-coding RNA, 1553 nt
Filed under: Malus domestica (apple)
Lineage: Eukaryota; Viridiplantae; Streptophyta; Magnoliopsida; Rosales; Rosaceae
Description: long non-coding RNA (MDOM_LNC012570)
Source: RNAcentral
CUAACCAUAUGUCAUAGCUACCCAAGCUAAUGUAGAAGUUUAUUCGAAGAACCUAGUCAGUUGGAAUUACAAUAUAAUUCAAUCCUUCUCUAAUACAAUACUCUCAAUCACAUCAUUAGGGUAUGGAUAUAUCAUGUCAAACCCCUAAUGUGAUUAUUCCUUCUUAUAUGAUCCAAUUGAGUCGUAUAGGAACGCUUCCCUUUAUUGCGCUCGAUACUUCGGCCGAAGAUUCCCGAAUCAUAUCUUAGAGUAUUCUUCCUCUCUUAUCGAGGAUUAGAGAUUCCUUGUUGCGCAUACACUUGCCUUCAUGACUAAGUGGCUUAACCCCAACUAUGCCGUUGACACUCUGAUAGAGUGACGUUGACAUAAUCAAAGAUUAAGUACUUAACCACAAGACAACGACGAUGCCUCAGGUCAAAGGAUUACUUACAUUAUUCCAACCAUUUGAGUUACUUGCUUGACAUGUGAGUAGACCUCCAUACAAGUACUCUGAGUCGAUUGUGUUCAGUGAACUCAUUCCCUUAAUGAGCACCUACAUACUUGUCUUAGUGUCACAACACGAAUGGGUUGAGACUUUCCAUCCUUCCAAUUGAAGCGGACACAGUAUGUACCGGUCUAAGCAUUGUCAGUAUCCCUCCGACAAUCCAACGACCAGGAACCUUUUGGACAUAAUGGUUAUGUGAAGAAGGUCUCUGUAGUCUAACAUCAUUAGAUUACUUCUUCAAUCGAUCCAUUGUCCAUGGAUUCACUAUUCAGGACUUAUAUCGUUUAUUGAGAUAGUCCUAAUUAGUAUCUUUGCCAUUUCAUGUAUAAGAAUCAUCCAUACAUCGAUUCAUUUGUCCUGAAAGAUUUCUUCCAAAGAUUGACUUUCAAGGCAUAUUUCCAACAUGGAGGAUGUUAUUGAUGAUAGUAUUCAGAGCGGUGUAUUAUUUGGGCUUUGGGGAACCUGCUUGUCUCAACGUCCUCCUCUUAUAGCCUAUCGUGGAAAAUGAGAUGGAGUGUCUAUGUUCGUCCUUCUUCUACCGGUCAUCUUAAUGUAAUCUGGUUCAAUUGUUGUCCUCCUGCUCUUAUCAUCCCAGUCAGUCAAGUUGUCCCAAUGUAGUCAUAUUUCUUCUUAUUCAGCUUCUGGGAAAGAGGUGAAUUGGACGUAGAGACCUUGCUUGAAUACCAUGGUCGCCAAUGUGUCAUAUGGUUUUUCCACUAAGGCCAGCUCUGCCGAAAAGCAUUUCAAAUAAGCUCUCAGAUUACAUCUCUGGUUUGAGGAAGCAAUCUAAACAUAGCUUCGCGACAUUUGUGAACAUCGCAGUAGGCAGAAUAAGUGUUGGUGAAUAAGUUAGCUAAAGUCCCAAAAUAGUCAAUGGACCUAGCAAGUAGCUUUGAAUACCAUCUCAUGGCAGGUCCACCCAAAGUGGAUGGAAACAUUUUGCAUAUCUAGGCAUCUUUGUUGUUGUACAAUGCCAUGACGUUCCUAUAGAGCAUGAUGUGGUAGUCGGGGUCGAAAUCACUGCGGAAUGACUUAAACCUUAAUUAAGAUAACUUUUCAAGUGGAGGCG